ACUUAAAUAGUUUAAAAAAAACAUUGAAUUGUGAUAUCAAAAAUAUAUUUAAUAUUUUAAGUC
Molecule: transfer RNA, 63 nt
Filed under: Elasmosoma sp. QL-2014
Lineage: Eukaryota; Metazoa; Arthropoda; Insecta; Hymenoptera; Braconidae
Description: tRNA-His
Source: RNAcentral